RNAcentral lists this small nuclear RNA (288 nucleotides) under Jaculus jaculus (lesser Egyptian jerboa). RNAcentral describes it as "7SK RNA (ENSJJAG00000006709.1)". It matches the Rfam family "7SK RNA", at positions 1 to 288 of the family's 331-position model. Rfam says of the family: 7SK was discovered as an abundant small nuclear RNA in the mid-70s but a possible function has only recently been suggested. Two independent studies have found that 7SK RNA binds the CDK9/cyclin T complex (known as elongation factor P-TEFb). P-TEFb activates transcription by phosphorylating the C-terminal domain of RNA polymerase II. Lineage: Eukaryota; Metazoa; Chordata; Mammalia; Rodentia; Dipodidae. The record is from RNAcentral.
GGAUGUGAGGGCGAUCUGGCUGCGACAUCUGUCACGCCAUUGUUCAGCAGGGUUGAUUCGGCUGAUCUGGCUGGCUGGGGGGGGGGUGUCUCCUUCCUCCCUCACCACUCCACGUGUGUCCCUCCCAAAGCUGCGCGCUCAGUCGAAGAGGACGACCUUCCCCGAAUAGAGGACGACCGGUCUUUGGUCAAGGGCAUACAAGUAGCUGCGCUCCCCUGCUAGAACCUCCAAACAAGCUCUCAAAUAUUUUCUUAGGGCAGCCAGAAAGUUAACUGAUACAAUUGCUCA